RNAcentral lists this small RNA (550 nucleotides) under Pongo abelii (Sumatran orangutan). RNAcentral describes it as "retained intron". The record is from RNAcentral. Lineage: Eukaryota; Metazoa; Chordata; Mammalia; Primates; Hominidae.
AACGAAGUCUGGGCUACCGGCGCCGCGUAGUGGAUGCAGCAUCCUAGUUGAGGACGCCCCUCUGUUGCUGAACCUGUUUGCAUGAGUUGCUCCUGACGGCUCUUUAGGAUACUUCCGUGUCUGUAGGGUCUGGAGUGACAUCUCCUCCCCUCCCCUGACGAGAUCUGCCCUCCUUGGCACUGUGCUUCCCCAGAGGGGUGGCCUCGCUGUUCCCAUGGACGUGGCCCAGGAGCCGGUGACCUUCAGGGACGUGGCCAUCUACUUCUCAAGGGAGGAGUGGGCGUGUCUGGAACCCAGCCAGAGGGCCCUCUACCGGGACGUGAUGCUGGACAACUUCAGCAGUGUGGCUGCUCUGGGUGAGGACGGGCUGAGCGCUGUGUGAGCACGGGGUGAGCGCUGGGAGAGCUCUGCUGCUGCCUCUGGGUCUGGCUGGUCCAGGACAGUAGUGGGGCCUCCCAGCCGAGGGGGCUCAGGAGCUAGAAGUUAUUGGCCUCUGUAGACAGACGGGCCCACUCAGCGUUUCUCUCGGGCUCCCUGGAGGCAGCCUCAU